This 253-nucleotide ribosomal RNA is filed under the name uncultured bacterium. Its description in RNAcentral is "partial 16S ribosomal RNA". It matches the Rfam family "Bacterial small subunit ribosomal RNA", at positions 524 to 776 of the family's 1533-position model. The record is from RNAcentral.
UACGUAGGGUGCAAGCGUUGUCCGGAAUUAUUGGGCGUAAAGAGCGUGUAGGCGGCCCGACCAGUCCGCUGUGAAAGUCCAGGGCUCAACCCUGGAAUGCCGGUGGAUACUGUCGGGCUAGAGUCCGGAAGGGGCGAGUGGAAUUCCUGGUGUAGCGGUGAAAUGCUUAGAUAUUGUCAAGAACACCUAUUGCGAAGGCAGCUUACUAAGCUGUAACUGACGCUGAGGCACGAAAGCGUGGGGAUCAAACAGG